This 1400-nucleotide ribosomal RNA is filed under the name Staphylococcus aureus. Its description in RNAcentral is "bacterial LSU rRNA". It matches the Rfam family "Bacterial large subunit ribosomal RNA", at positions 1 to 1402 of the family's 2925-position model. The record is from RNAcentral. Lineage: Bacteria; Bacillati; Bacillota; Bacilli; Caryophanales; Staphylococcaceae.
AGAUUAAGUUAUUAAGGGCGCACGGUGGAUGCCUUGGCACUAGAAGCCGAUGAAGGACGUUACUAACGACGAUAUGCUUUGGGGAGCUGUAAGUAAGCUUUGAUCCAGAGAUUUCCGAAUGGGGAAACCCAGCAUGAGUUAUGUCAUGUUAUCGAUAUGUGAAUACAUAGCAUAUCAGAAGGCACACCCGGAGAACUGAAACAUCUUAGUACCCGGAGGAAGAGAAAGAAAAUUCGAUUCCCUUAGUAGCGGCGAGCGAAACGGGAAGAGCCCAAACCAACAAGCUUGCUUGUUGGGGUUGUAGGACACUCUAUACGGAGUUACAAAGGACGACAUUAGACGAAUCAUCUGGAAAGAUGAAUCAAAGAAGGUAAUAAUCCUGUAGUCGAAAAUGUUGUCUCUCUUGAGUGGAUCCUGAGUACGACGGAGCACGUGAAAUUCCGUCGGAAUCUGGGAGGACCAUCUCCUAAGGCUAAAUACUCUCUAGUGACCGAUAGUGAACCAGUACCGUGAGGGAAAGGUGAAAAGCACCCCGGAAGGGGAGUGAAAUAGAACCUGAAACCGUGUGCUUACAAGUAGUCAGAGCCCGUUAAUGGGUGAUGGCGUGCCUUUUGUAGAAUGAACCGGCGAGUUACGAUUUGAUGCAAGGUUAAGCAGUAAAUGUGGAGCCGUAGCGAAAGCGAGUCUGAAUAGGGCGUUUAGUAUUUGGUCGUAGACCCGAAACCAGGUGAUCUACCCUUGGUCAGGUUGAAGUUCAGGUAACACUGAAUGGAGGACCGAACCGACUUACGUUGAAAAGUGAGCGGAUGAACUGAGGGUAGCGGAGAAAUUCCAAUCGAACCUGGAGAUAGCUGGUUCUCUCCGAAAUAGCUUUAGGGCUAGCCUCAAGUGAUGAUUAUUGGAGGUAGAGCACUGUUUGGACGAGGGGCCCCUCUCGGGUUACCGAAUUCAGACAAACUCCGAAUGCCAAUUAAUUUAACUUGGGAGUCAGAACAUGGGUGAUAAGGUCCGUGUUCGAAAGGGAAACAGCCCAGACCACCAGCUAAGGUCCCAAAAUAUAUGUUAAGUGGAAAAGGAUGUGGCGUUGCCCAGACAACUAGGAUGUUGGCUUAGAAGCAGCCAUCAUUUAAAGAGUGCGUAAUAGCUCACUAGUCGAGUGACACUGCGCCGAAAAUGUACCGGGGCUAAACAUAUUACCGAAGCUGUGGAUUGUCCUUUGGACAAUGGUAGGAGAGCGUUCUAAGGGCGUUGAAGCAUGAUCGUAAGGACAUGUGGAGCGCUUAGAAGUGAGAAUGCCGGUGUGAGUAGCGAAAGACGGGUGAGAAUCCCGUCCACCGAUUGACUAAGGUUUCCAGAGGAAGGCUCGUCCGCUCUGGGUUAGUCGGGUCCUAAGCUGAGGC